Long non-coding RNA from Dreissena polymorpha, 725 nucleotides. RefSeq lists it as uncharacterized. NCBI's taxonomy places the organism in Eukaryota, Metazoa, Mollusca, Bivalvia, Myida, Dreissenidae. The transcript has 3 exons. The record is from RefSeq and is a predicted model, not a curated record.
CAUGCCUUACAGACACCAAACUGGAUAUCCGGUUCAAACCACGCAGACGACAUUCAGUACGUGUUCGGGUAUCCGCUUUACGCCGGACCGCGCAGUACCGGAAACUACACGGAGGAGGAACGACGACUUGCCAGGGGAAUGGUUACCAUGUGGACGAACUUUGCCAAGUCAGGGGAUCCAAACAAACCGGAAGAUGCCCGUCAGUUCACCAACGCCACUUGGGCCGAGUAUGACCUUGACUUUCAGAGCUUCCUACAGUUCACCAAUCAGGGAGCACUUCCGGGGUCCCAAUUCCAAGCGCGCCGGAUGUAGCUGUGGUCAGACCUCCUGCCCACUUCUUCCAAGGGAUUCCAAGGGAUUCUAUGGAUAGCUCAGCUUUCUUUUGAUGUACACAGGAAUUAACGAGUACAUAUGUUUGUACAAAAUGAUAGUCACAACACGAUAGCUUUCAUUACAAAUUUACGUCAUAAACGUUAUACAGACAAACUAAAAUUUCAAAUGAAAAAAUGAUAUAGUAAAGGCAGCAAAACUAUUAUAUAUUCGAACUAAUAGGUUAAUACAAGACUUUACCUGUGCAAAUAUUGUCGAUUUUAUAAAAAGAGAUCGGUGCAAACCGACGGUAACUUUCCGACUUAUGUUAACCUGUAUACAUAUCUUUAUUACACUAUGUGAAUUUUGCAUGCUAUUUUAGAAUUUUUGAUUUAAUAAAAUGAAUGUAUACAUUU